UACGUAGGGGGCAAGCGUUGUCCGGAUUUAUUGGGCGUAAAGAGCGUGUAGGCGGCUUUACAGGUCCGUUGUGAAAACUCGAGGCUCAACCUCGAGACGUCGGUGGAAACCGUAUGGCUAGAGUCCGGAAGAGGAGAGUGGAAUUCCUGGUGUAGCGGUGAAAUGCGCAGAUAUCAGGAAGAACACCCGUGGCGAAGGCGGCUCUCUGGGACGGUACUGACGCUGAGACGCGAAAGCGUGGGGAGCGAACAGG
This 253-nucleotide ribosomal RNA is filed under the name uncultured bacterium. RNAcentral's name for it is "partial 16S ribosomal RNA". It matches the Rfam family "Bacterial small subunit ribosomal RNA", at positions 524 to 776 of the family's 1533-position model. The record is from RNAcentral.